AUGAAGAUGUUGUUAGAGUGGAACAACAACCUUAUGUUAAAAGGGGACAAAAACGGAAGUACACCUCUUCACUUUGCUGUUAUCGGUACUCUACGGCAAAUAUGUUCACAAUUAUUGAUAGCCAGUCCAGAUGCAUUGUAUGAACAUGACCACAAUGGAUCAUUUCCCACACACGUGGCUGCCUCCGUCGGUGCAACACGGGUCAUCACUGAUUUUGUUAUGAAGUCACCCAAUUGUGCUGGUUUGCUCGAUGCUAGGGGAAGGACAUUUCUUCAUGUUGCAGUUGAUAGAAUGGAUAUAGGGACUGUCGAUUAUGCUUGUCGAAACAUAUCAUUGUCAUGGAUUUUGAAUAUGCAAGACAAAGAUGGGAACACUGGACUACACCUAGCUAUAAGAAAAGGAAGUCUACGAAUGUUUUGUUCUUUACUUGGUAAUAGAAAAGUACAAUUGCAUUUAAUGAACGAGAAAGGGGAGACUGCGCUAGAUACAGCGCGUCACGCUAUUCCUGGAGGACUAUAUAUGCAAGGGGAAAAUGAAGUACAGAUACUCAAAGCACUCAAAUAUGUCAGUGCUAAAAGGGGUAUUGUUCACCAGGGAUUCUUGGAUGAAUUUGAUAUUGACCAAUCAAGACAGGAAGAAAUACAUAUGAUGAGUCAAGUGAAAGAGGGAACACAAAGUCUUUGUAUCGGCUCGGUCUUAAUUGCAACUGUAACCUUUGGUGCAACUUUCACUAUGCCUGGAGGUCUUAGAGCUGAUGAUCACACUAAUGCAGGCUCACCAACACUUGCUGGAACAUUUUAUUUUUAUGCAUUCAUCGUGGCCAACACAAUUGCCUUCACCCUCUCGGUCAUGGCUACAAUUUCUUACAUAAUUUCUGGGACUCCUGCGGUACAUCCUCGAAGACGAGAAGUGCUAUUUAAAAGGGCCACCCCUCUCAUGUUGAUUUCAGUGUCAAGCAUGGUGGCUGCCUUUGCACUUGGUACCUAUAUGAUGUUAGCUCCAAUUGCUCCUGUGCCUCCACUUGCAAUAUUUCUCAUCUUUAUUCUCAUAUUCACGUAUCACUCUUGGGAAAUGAUAAUCAGCGAUAUUGUUCUCUUCACAGCACUCUGUAGGAGAAAGGGGAUAUGGUACGGAAUAGUCUGGGCAUAUCCAUUUGCAUUCUUUCUCGUGGUCCUUAUUCCGUCUUCUCUAUUGUUGGCCUUUAAGUUGGCCCAGGUGAGUCACACCGGUGGCAAAGUGGAACCACCAGCACAACCGCCAACACCAUUUGCUUGA
RNAcentral lists this ribosomal RNA (1275 nucleotides) under Triticum aestivum (bread wheat). RNAcentral's name for it is "partial small subunit ribosomal RNA". The record is from RNAcentral. Lineage: Eukaryota; Viridiplantae; Streptophyta; Magnoliopsida; Poales; Poaceae.